GUGGGGAAUAUUGCACAAUGGAGGAAACUCUGAUGCAGCGAUGCCGCGUGAGGGAAGAAGGUUUUAGGAUUGUAAACCUCUGUCUUUGGGGACGAAAAAUGACGGUACCCAAGGAGGAAGCUCCGGCUAACUACGUGCCAGCAGCCGCGGUAAUACGUAGGGAGCGAGCGUUGUCCGGAAUUACUGGGUGUAAAGGGAGCGUAGGCGGGAUCGCAAGUCAGAUGUGAAAACUAUGGGCUUAACCCAUAAACUGCAUUUGAAACUGUGGUUCUUGAGUGAAGUAGAGGUAAGCGGAAUUCCUAGUGUAGCGGUGAAAUGCGUAGAUAUUAGGAGGAACACCAGUGGCGAAGGCGGCUUACUGGACAGUAACUGACGUUGAGGCUCGAAAGCGUGGGGAGCAAACAGGAUUAGAUACCCGAGUAGUCC
Molecule: ribosomal RNA, 426 nt
Filed under: uncultured bacterium
Lineage: Bacteria
Description: partial 16S ribosomal RNA
Rfam family: Bacterial small subunit ribosomal RNA
Source: RNAcentral